This 30-nucleotide non-coding RNA is filed under the name Mus musculus (house mouse). The record is from RNAcentral. Lineage: Eukaryota; Metazoa; Chordata; Mammalia; Rodentia; Muridae.
UGGGAGUUUGAUCUUACAGUGCAUAUCAUC